GUUUGGAUGAAGUUGAGGGCCAGUUCCUGUGAAUUACUUUAAGAUUCAGGCUGAGGUCCAAAGAAAUAUCCUACUGCAAUCAAGCUGUUGGAAAAGUACUGGGGCCUCUUAUCAGCAAAGAAGGGAGAGCCGAGGGGAUCCCGGCCAGCCGGCCAGAAUCCUCAGCUGCUUCCCACCUCCCUUGAAGACGACAAGAAGAAGAUUUUCGUGGUAGUGUCACUGUUGUCAAACUGGAUCGAAGAUUGCUGCUCCCUGGGAGCCUUCUGGGCAUCCUAUCUUAUGGCCAAAGAAUUUGGAGGAGUUACUCUUUCUUGGAGCUCAGCGAGUAUGAAGACCAGCAGUCUUCUGGCGACAACAAUGAGAAUGAAAUAUUGCUGAGGGAAAUCUCUACACUGUAUGUGGAGAACCUUCCUUUUCAUGUAACUGAAGAGCAAAUACAUGAGCUCUUCAGCAGAUGUGGCGAUGUCAGGAAUGUAGUAAUGGGUUUGGAUAGAGUCACGAGAAUGCUAAGUGGUUACUGUUUGGUUGAGUAUCACAACAGAGCUGAUGCUGAAAAUGCCAUGCGGUUCCUCAAUGGCACCUACCUGGAUGACCGCAUCAUUCAUAUAGCUUGGGAUCCUAACUUAAGAGAAAGCGGCCUGUAUAGUGAAGAGCAGUCCAGGGGCCAGCUAAGAGAUGAUUUCUGUGAUGAUUUUGAUGAUGGUAGAGGAGAUGCUGGAAAACAGUAGAAGAGGAACCCACCAGUGAAAACCCUAAAGUUCUCGCCCUCUCAAAAAAACCAAUUCCAAAGUACUGCCAGAUGGGCAAAUAGCCCACUUCAAAACACGUUUAGAUUCUAUACAGAACAGAAACUCAUUUGAUGUGCUUUCUUCUCUGAAAACUUAAUAAAUGGCACACAUUUGAACAUC
Erinaceus europaeus (western European hedgehog) is the source of this 908-nucleotide long non-coding RNA. RefSeq lists it as uncharacterized. The record is from RefSeq and is a predicted model, not a curated record. The transcript is spliced from 3 exons. NCBI's taxonomy places the organism in Eukaryota, Metazoa, Chordata, Mammalia, Eulipotyphla, Erinaceidae.